UAUUAUUUAAAAUGUAAAUAUUAAUAUUAAAGUAGUAAUUGUUAUGUUCUUGAAACUUAAAAAAUUUGGCGGUAUUUUAGUCUAUCCAGAGGAACCUGUUCUAUAAUCGAUAAUCCACGAUGGACCUUACUUAAAUUUGUAUUCAGUUUAUAUACCGUCGUUAUCAGAAUAUUUUAUAAGAAUAUUAAUAUUCAAUAAUUUUUAUAAAAAUUUAUAUCAGAUCAAGGUGUAGCUAAUAUUUAAGUGGUAAUGGGUUACAAUAAAUUUAUUUAAAUGGAUAAAAUUAUGAAAAAAUUUUUGAAGGUGGAUUUGGUUGUAAAAUUAUAUAGAUUAAUAAUUUGAUUUUAGCUCUAAAAUAUGUACACAUCGCCCGUCGCUCUUAUUAUUAAGGUAAGAUAAGUCGUAACAUAGUAGAUGUACUGGAAAGUGUAUCUAGAAUGA
Molecule: ribosomal RNA, 441 nt
Filed under: Drosophila fulvimacula
Lineage: Eukaryota; Metazoa; Arthropoda; Insecta; Diptera; Drosophilidae
Also listed under: 1 other name
Description: partial 12S ribosomal RNA
Source: RNAcentral